GUCCUGGCUGUAAACGAUGAGCACUUGGUGUGGCGGGUAUCGACCCCUGCCGUGCCGAAGCUAACGCAUUAAGUGCUCCGCCUGGGGAGUACGGCCGCAAGGCUGAAACUCAAAGGAAUUGACGGGGGCCCCGCACAAGCGGUGGAGCAUGUGGUUCAAUUCGACGCAACGCGAAGAACCUUACCUGGGUUUGAACUGCAGGUGACAGCUCUCGAAAGAGGGUCUUCCUUCGGGACGCCUGUAGAGGUGCUGCAUGGCUGUCGU
This 264-nucleotide ribosomal RNA is filed under the name uncultured bacterium. RNAcentral's name for it is "partial 16S ribosomal RNA". It matches the Rfam family "Bacterial small subunit ribosomal RNA", at positions 793 to 1055 of the family's 1533-position model. The record is from RNAcentral.